CUUGACAAGACUGAGCACUCCACGGGUACCAGCCCCAUCUCAGGUGCCCAGAGGAAGGCCAGAGACGGGGCUGGGGACUCGGGGCUCGGGGUCACCCCACUGAGGAAGGCUGGGCCAGAGUGUGGUUGCAUGCUCCCAGCAAUGGGAGCCCCCGGGGGUCCUGGUCUCCUGGUGUAGCUGGUCCGCCCCUCCCCAGCAGGGUUCAUGUUCUGCUGCCUCCCGAGUAGCUGGGACUACAGGUGCCACCACACCCAGCUAAUUUUUUUUUUCGUAUUUUUAGUAGGGAUGGGGUUUCACCGUGUUAGCCAGGAUGGUCUCGAUCUCCUGACCUCGUGAUCCGCCCACCUCAGCCUCCCAAAGUGCUGAGAUUACAGGCGUGAGCCACCGUGCCCGGUGUACCGUGCAUUUAUGAGACAAGGUGUUGCUCUGUCACCAAGGCUGGAGUGCAGUGGCGGGAUCACAGCUCACUGCAGCCUCCACCUCCAGAGCUCAAGUGAUCCUCCCGUCUCAGCCUCCUGAGUAGCUGGGACCACAGGCAACCCCACUACACCUGGCUCACAUACAAUUUUUGUGUGGAUGUACCUUUUCCUGCCUCUGUGAAUGUAUAAAACCACUGAAUUGCACACUUUAAAAGAAAGAUUUUAGGGUGUGUGAAUCAUAGCUCAAU
Molecule: long non-coding RNA, 667 nt
Filed under: Homo sapiens (human)
Lineage: Eukaryota; Metazoa; Chordata; Mammalia; Primates; Hominidae
Description: HSALNT0254664
Source: RNAcentral